CCUACGGGAGGCAGCAGUGGGGAAUAUUGCACAAUGGGGGAAACCCUGAUGCAGCGACGCCGCGUGAGUGAAGAAGUAAUUCGUUAUGUAAAGCUCUAUCAGCAGGGAAGAAAAUGACGGUACCUGAGUAAGAAGCCACGGCUAACUACGUGCCAGCAGCCGCGGUAAUCCGUAGGGGGCAAGCGUUAUCCGGAUUUACUGGGUGUAAAGGGAGCGUAGACGGCUGUGCAAGUCUGGAGUGAAAGGCGGGGGCUCAACCCCCGGACUGCUCCGGAAACUGUACGGCUGGAGUGCAGGAGAGGUAAGUUGAAUUCCUCGUGUAGCGGUGAAAUGCUUAGAUAUUAGGAGGACCACCAGUGGCGAAGGCGGCUUACUGGACUGUAACUGACGUUGAGGCUCGAAAGCGUGGGGAGCAAACAGGAUUAGAUACCCUUGUAGUC
This 440-nucleotide ribosomal RNA is filed under the name uncultured bacterium. RNAcentral's name for it is "partial 16S ribosomal RNA". It matches the Rfam family "Bacterial small subunit ribosomal RNA", at positions 338 to 795 of the family's 1533-position model. The record is from RNAcentral.